Molecule: ribosomal RNA, 284 nt
Filed under: uncultured Brevundimonas sp.
Lineage: Bacteria; Pseudomonadati; Pseudomonadota; Alphaproteobacteria; Caulobacterales; Caulobacteraceae
Description: partial 16S ribosomal RNA
Source: RNAcentral
GGAGUUUGGGCCGUGUCUCAGUCCCAAUGUGGCUGGUCAUCCUCUCAGACCAGCUACUGAUCGUAGCCUUGGUGAGCCUUUACCUCACCAACUAGCUAAUCAGACGCGGGCCGCUCUAAAGGCGAUAAAUCUUUCCCCCGAAGGGCACAUUCGGCAUUACCACCCGUUUCCAGGAGCUAUUCCGAACCUAAAGGCACGUUCCCACGUGUUACUCACCCGUCCGCCACUAACCCCGAACGGGUCCGUUCGACUUGCAUGUGUUAGGCCUGCCGCCAGCGUUCGCU